GAUGAAGAACGUAGCGAAAUGCGUUACUUGGUGUGAAUUGCAGAAUCCCGUGAACCAUCGAGUCUUUGAACGCAAGUUGCGCCCGAAGCCAUUAGGCCGAGGGCACGCCUGCCUGGGCGUCACACGUCGUUGCCCCCCCAUCUACUCCUUCGGGAUUGCGGGGGGCGGAUGAUGGCCUCCCGUGCGCCUCGCCGCGCGGUUGGCAUAAAUGCCAAGUCCUCGGCGACGCACGCCACGACAAUCGGUGGUUGCGAAACCUCGGUGGCCCGUCGUGUGCGGUCGUCGCGCAUCGAGGGCUCGAAAAAAUUGCCGGGUUCCGGCUCGGCUUUCAACGCGACCCCAGGUCAGGCGGGGUUACCCGCUGAAUUUAAGCAUAUCAAUAAGCGGAGGA
This 391-nucleotide unclassified non-coding RNA is filed under the name soil metagenome. RNAcentral's name for it is "partial contains 5.8S ribosomal RNA, internal transcribed spacer 2, and large subunit ribosomal RNA". The stretch from base 1 to 122 matches the Rfam family "5.8S ribosomal RNA", at positions 35 to 154 of the family's 154-position model. The record is from RNAcentral.